Molecule: long non-coding RNA, 1433 nt
Organism: Centruroides sculpturatus (bark scorpion)
Lineage: Eukaryota; Metazoa; Arthropoda; Arachnida; Scorpiones; Buthidae
Exons: 5
Source: RefSeq, a predicted model, not a curated record
CAAACGGAAAAAUGUUUUUAACAUUUUUACUGCAACUAAACAUCUUUUUUUAACGAUUUUUCAACGGAUUAUAUUUUAAAAAGGAAAGAAAUAAGGUUGUAUCGUAGAAAAUCGUCCAUUACAAGACAGAUGCGUUAAGCCACUAUGCGACGUGACCAUGAGAAGGACGCAGUGCUAAGGAUAAACAAAUAUCAUAAUAACUUCUGUUUGCGAUAUUGUACCACUCUGAAAAUUAGUACAUUUUGUUAUACGAGUAUGAGGAAUUUUUUGAUAUUGAAAUUAUUUUCAACAGAUAAGACAUUUUUUAGUUAUGGAAGGUAGAACAGAGUCAUAUGCAGGUAUCGUCUUAAAAUCAGUCAAACGUGUCUGAAUCUCCUUCAACAAGCGUAAAAUUAAUAUAAGUUCUGAUACAAAACUAAACAAUGGACUAGAGUUAAUCGUUUAAAAGCAGCUACAAAAUAAUUUUCUGAGUCUUAUACCACAAUGAAGAAGAAUUCAUAUAAAGUAGACAUUUUUACAACAGUAGUGUCAAUUAUAAACAGUAAAAUUCACCAUAAAUCCAUAUAAAAUAAGUAUUUUUUCCUAAUCUUGCCUUUACUGUAAAAUAAUGAAACAUUUAAGAACAUAAUUAGAGAAAAAGCGCCAAAGUCAGACAGGCUCCCAGCUUAUUUCACGAAAGAAGUGUUGCAGAGUAGCGUUAAUUGGGAUAAAUACUUCACAGUCUUGUCAUCAACCCGUGGUAUUUUUAUUACUCAGUUCUAGUUUCUCAUCUAUGAAAAAUAAGAGUUCGUUUCUCAUUACUGACAUGCAGUAGAAGAAUGAAAUUAACGGAUUACUCAUUUUGCUAACCAUUUCUGACAUACAAUAAUUGACGAUGCCACAUUGUUCCAAAAACAUUCUUUUUUCCUAAUCGGACUAUCACGCGUUUCCAAAAAUUGAAAGUUGUGACAGAUGAUGGAAGUAGACAAAAGAAGAAACUACCAUGGCCUCAGAAUCUACAGCUAGAGCCUUAGAAUCUACGAGAGAGAUGAUGAACUGGAAAAAGUAGCGAAAAUAUAAACUACUUUAAUGAGGUUAUCACACUGAAAAUGAUGCUAUCUGCAUGUUUUAUGGCAAAAAGUAGUUUUCAGAUUGCCGGGUGAACUUUAAGUGAGAUGUUUACAGUUCACUGAUUGGGCCCAUGUUCAGAAGUACAGGAAGAUGAAUAUACUUGCAACUUUUGCAAACAUUUUCAUUCCUCAAUACAUAGCAUGUUUAAAUAAAUCAUUUUAUGCAAAAAUUUGUUCUCUUUUUCUCUUUCUCUUUUAAUUUCCUCCUUAAAAUUCCAUAUAUAUUUGAGGGUCCGAAUAGUGCCGUAACUAGGCAGGUGCAACAGGUGCACCCGCACAGAGCCCACUUGAAAGGGGCCCAAAAUGCAUGCUUUUGUUUUAUUA